UACAGAGGUCCCAAGCGUUGUUCGGAUUCACUGGGCGUAAAGGGUGCGUAGGUGGUGAGGUAAGUCUGAUGUGAAAUCUCCGAGCUUAACUCGGAAAUGGCAUUGGAAACUACCUUGCUUGAGGGUUGGAGGGGAGACUGGAAUUCUUGGUGUAGCAGUGAAAUGCGUAGAUAUCAAGAGGAACACCAGUGGCGAAAGCGAGUCUCUGGACAACUCCUGACACUGAGGCACGAAAGCUAGGGGAGCAAACAGG
This 253-nucleotide ribosomal RNA is filed under the name uncultured bacterium. Its description in RNAcentral is "partial 16S ribosomal RNA". It matches the Rfam family "Bacterial small subunit ribosomal RNA", at positions 524 to 776 of the family's 1533-position model. The record is from RNAcentral.